RNAcentral lists this long non-coding RNA (4664 nucleotides) under Hordeum vulgare. Its description in RNAcentral is "long non-coding RNA (HVUL_LNC019113)". The record is from RNAcentral. Lineage: Eukaryota; Viridiplantae; Streptophyta; Magnoliopsida; Poales; Poaceae.
AGGGUUCCGCGCCCCUCCUAUCGCCGCCGCCAUCCCUCUUCUCCACUCCAUCAUCUCCCUACCCCGGUAAGUUCAGAGAGAGAUCGUCAGGUUCAGAGCGAGAGCAGGGGAUCAUCCUCGUCGUCCCCGCCUUCUCCUUCAUCGUCAGCAGCCUCUCCGCGGCGUCUGAGGCGCCCGCGAGGAAGCUGGCAUUGUCCUUGUCCCGUUCCCGCGCUAGGAGAGGUCGAGCCCCCUCCAUGGCGUCGGCCCCGUCGUCGCAUCACCGGCGCGGAAGCUUCACUGCAGCAGGCCACUCCAAGCAUCUUCUUCCUGCGCGCCUCGUUCUCGCCUUCGGUGCAACCUAGGUGAGCAGAGUAGACCCUCUUGCCCUCUCCCGCGUGCUCGAUCCGCUCGUCGUAGCGUAGCAUCGUCGCUGUCGCGUUCCGCCAUGGCCAGAAGCGCAAGCUUCUUGCGCCGCCAGUAGGUUCCCCCUUCCGCCGCAUUAGCCCUGGGAAUGGAACCCCCUAGGAUUUCCGCACCCCCGCCGGUCAGUUGUUGCAGUCACCGUUGCCGCAUCGUCGCCGGAGUCGAGCUCCUCCUUCCAUCUUCUCAAGGUAGAAGAAGAUAGGGCGUCNNNNNNNNNNNNNNNNNNNNNNNNNNNNNNNNNNNNNNNNNNNNNNNNNNNNNNNNNNNNNNNNNNNNNNNNNNNNNNNNNNNNNNNNNNNNNNNNNNNNNNNNNNNNNNNNNNNNNNNNNNNNNNNNNNNNNNNNNAGUGUAGAUAUCCUAUUAGGUGCCGAACCGUUUCUGUUUUAGAUACCCCUCCUAGGCCAGUGGUUCCAGCGCCGCUCCUCGACCCCGUGGUCGUGGGUUCGAAUCCCCGCCGGCGUCCCUUCGUUGUUCCUCCCUGUUGCGGUUAGCUGUGGAGUAAGAUAGGUGGCUAGUGGAGCCUGGUGGUAGCUAGUGUGGUGUGUGUGCAUGAGGUGCAGGUUUCGACUCCCCCCUGCACCUUUUCUUUUGUGUGGUUUGUGUGUGUGUGGCGUGUGUGCAAGGGAUCCCUUGUGGCCAUGUGUGGGAUCCCAUGUGCCUAUAUAUGUGCGUGUGUGUGUGUGGCUGUGUGUGUUGUGGGGCUUGGCCCACUUGCAUACACCCACUAGAGGGCCCCGGUGCAAUAACCAGUGGGCCCCAUGCCAUAUUGUUUUUUUUUUGUGUGUUUUGAGUUGUUUUCUAUUUUUAGGUAUAGUCCAAAUAGGGAUAUAGCCGGUUUUGGCCUAUGCCAAAUUAGGCAGUUUUGACUUAUAGAUUUAUUGGGCCAAUGUGUAUUUCUCUUCUUAUUUGUGGCUGUGAUAUUACCUUUUGUGGAUUAAUUCCAGAAGUGGGAAUUACCUAAUCUGGUAUAUACCAGAUAUGGCAGGGCAAGAACAGUUCAUGUUCUUGGCACGGUACGUUUUAAUCUUGUGGAGUAUUUCUUUUGUUGUUUGUGUUGUUUUCCUGCAUGCAUAUAUAACAGUGUAAUAUAUGGAUUUGGGGUAGGAGAACCCAAGGAAUUCAAUGGUGGCACUGGAUUCCAGUUUUGAGCAGUUUUGCAGAAGUGUCACUUUGUGAUGAGGUGACACAUGUUUACCUUUGUAGGUUGGUUUAAGUGCAUAAUUAGGGGUUGGGCAUUCAUGCGUCAUAUUAGGGUGUGCAUCAUAUCGUGCUUGUGUUGUGGUGUAUAUCGUGUAUUGAUUCUUGUUUCUGGUUUGCUUCGUCUCGAUAGUGUUCCGCAAGUGUGUCGGAAUGUGAGGAUCCGUUCGACUACGUCGGUUCGCCAUCUUCACGGAGUCGUUCUUCUUCCAAGAGGGAUCUCGGGAAAGAUGAUCAUUUCCCUAGAUACCAUUACUAUCAUUGCCAUGCUAGUUGGUUCGUUUCUAUCGCUAUGUCUUGUUGCCUACCACCUGUUAAAUGCCACCCUCUCAACAUAGCCACGAAAACCCUCAACCUGUUCAGAACCUAGCAAACCACUGUUUGGCUAUGUUACUGCUUACUUAACCAUGUGUUAGCAUUGCUAGUUGCAGGUGCAAUUGCUUCCAUGUGUUUACAUGGGUUCCUUGUUAUAUCACCAAAUUACUGCUAUUUUAUUUAAUGCACCUAUAUACUUGGUAAAACAUGGAAGGCUCAUUCUUUCUAGCCUGGUGUUUUGUUCCACCUUUGCCCCCUUAGUUUCGGCUAGCGGUGUUAUAUUCCAUAGUUGAGCGCUCCUAACAAAAUCGGGGUUGUUAUGAGGACCCCCUUGAUAAUUUGUUUUAGUUUAAACUGGUCUGGCAAGGCCCAACUUUGGUAGUACAUUUGCCUAAUAACUAAUGGACCACAUAGGGAGUAAUUAACCCGAGGAAACUUAAUCAACCCCCGGGCCAGUGCUCCUCAUGAGUGUUGGUCCAAAAAGGGCAGACUGCGGGGCCACCACGGGGCAACUCGAGGUUUGGUUUUACCCGUAGGCUUUCCCAUUCGGUCGUGUCCUAAGAACGAGAUACACGGCUCCUAUCGGAUUCGUCGACACGUCGGGCGGCCUUGCUGGAUUAGUUUUACCUUUAACAAAAUAUCUUGUGCAUCGGGAUUCCGGUGAGACUUUGGGACUUCUCAGAGUAGAGGUUUUCCACUAAGGAAUCCAAUGAAGUCACGAGUUUCAUGAUUGAGGCUUUCUAUGUGGCUUGUGGUAAUUUAUGAUGGACUAGUUGGAGCACCUCUGCAGGGUUAAAUCUUUUGGAAAGCCGUGCACACGGUUAUGUGGCAACGUGGAAACUUUGUUUAACAUCCGAUUAUAGAUAACUUGAAGUUAACUUAAUUAAAACUUGCCAACUGAGUGUGUACCGUGACUAUCUCUUUCGUGAGCUCCUUCUCCAAUCGAGGACACGGUGGGGUUACGUUUGACGUAAGUAGGUGUUCAGGAUCAUUCAUUUGAUCAUCAGUAGUUCACGUCCAUUAUGCGUAGAUCAUUCCCCCUCUUAUUCUUGUACUCGUAAGUUAGCCACCUCAUAUAUUGCUUAGUCGCUUGCUGCAGCCUCACUCCUUAACCAUACCUCACCUACUAAUCUUUGCUAGUCUUGGUACCUUUGGAAAUGAGAUUGCAGGUACUGGUAAAUCGAUAUUAAGACAUGAGCGCGAUCAUUGUUCAUUUGGAGUUUCUUCGUCUUCUUCUUCUUCAUCGAUCUAGGAUGGGUUCCAGGCUCGCAGCCUGGGAUAGCACGGAUGGACGUCGUUCUUUUAUCGUUUGUUUUCAUCCAUAGACGAACCUGCUCUUCUUUAUGAUGAUUGUAUGUAUUGUACUGAUGUGACUCUGAUGUAGCUUGUGGUGAGUGUAAGCCAAUUCCGUAUACUCAUCUUUUCAGUACAUGUAUUUGUAACGAUAUCCAUUCUUGCGAAACGACGAGAUGCGCUUCUAUCCCCGUCGAGGCCCUCAUGCUAAAAUAAGGAUAGGAUCGCAUCUUGGGCGUUACAAGUUGGUAUCGGAGCAGUACCGACCUAGGAACCCCCUUGAUUGAUCGAACUUGGCCGAGUCGAGUCUAGUAAAAAUCUGCUUUGGAUCUAGUUAUAUAUCAAAGAGUAGGAUUCUUUUUUCUCCUCUUCUAAGCUCUAGUGAGGAAUCCUGACGUAAUAAUUUUAUUCUACUCCUCUUCUCACUCAAAAAAAAAAUUAGGAUCACACAGAUAUUUUUGGAAUCUAUAUGAUGUCGAUGUGACGGAGUUCUGUCUUGGUGCCUCCUGUCUGACUUGAUUUCUUCCGGGGAGUUGAGCUCUAGGGGAUUCUUGAGCACAUCGUUAUCAUUCAUAUUUCUUAGUAUCUCGGGACGAAGGAUGUCCGAAAUGGCUUCAAUACUAGUAGUGGCGAGAGGAGUCUAGCUUCCCCAGUACUGGUGCAGAUAGGUCUGGAUGUAUCGCCACACUUAGUAUCGUUGUGAUUACGAGGAUCUGAUAUAGAUGAGUUUUCGAGGUCUCUGGUUAUGUGUUGACGGAUGUGAUACACUGGAUGGGUAGUGUUAUUGUUAGGAGUUGAGUGAUGGAUAUUACUCCUUGUAUCCGUGGACCAGAUCGCAUGACCAGGAAUUUCGGGAGUUCUUAGGUGGGAAUUCAAGUAGUCACUUAUAGGACAAUCUUCCAACAGAUGCAUGAUGUGAGGUUGGGGUUCGACAUUUAGUGGAUUAUUUGUUCACUGUCGUUUUACAGUGGUUCACGUUGUGUCUUAAAGAGUCCUUGUAGCUUGCUAUGACUCAGGACGCUUCGUAUGUCAUGAGCACUGCCUAGGCCCGGUCUUGAGGGAGGGCAGGGGGCGGCCGCCCCGGGCCCCGGGAACGGAGGGGCCUCCCACCGAGGUGUGUGUGCUUAGCCAGUUAGGCCUGCUACUUCGUGGACUGAAAAAAGCAACACAAUCAUUCUGGGCCAAGUUACUUAGUAUAGAAGACAAAGUCCGAUUAAUAACCCACCAGAGCAUUAGCGAUCAUGGAUUGAUUCUCAAAACAAAAAAAACGAUCGUGGACUUAGUCAGCCUUCCAUGAUACAUAGUACAUCAGGUACGGGGUUGGGCUUCACGCAUGCAUGAGUCAUGGCAUCGGCGUCGGCGGCUGCCGUGGAUCAUUUUUUCCUUGUUCAUUCCGCAGUGGCGUCGCACCCUCUCCCCGGCCGGAUACAUCGCCUCCUCGUCUAUAGGCACCG